GGGUGAGAAUCCCUUCCACCGAAUAUCUAAGGUUUCCUGAGGAAGGCUCGUCCGCUCAGGGUUAGUCGGGACCUAAGCCGAGGCCGAUAGGCGUAGGCGAUGGACAACAGGUAGAGAUUCCUGUACCAGUGCUAAUUGUUUAACCGAUGGGGUGACACAGAAGGAUAGGGAAUCGCACGAAUGGAAAUGUGCGUCCAAGCAGUGAGUGUGAGAAGUAGGCAAAUCCGCUUCUCGCGAAGCAUGAGCUGUGAUGGGGAAGGAAAUUAAGUACGGAAGUUCCUGAUUUCACGCUGUCAAGAAAAGCCUCUAGGAAGAGUAGUACUGCCCGUACCGCAAACCGACACAGGUAGAUGAGGAGAGAAUCCUAAGGUGAGCGAGAGAACUCUCGUUAAGGAACUCGGCAAAAUGACCCCGUAACUUCGGGAGAAGGGGUGCUCUAUUAGGGUGCAAGCCCGAGAGAGCCGCAGUGAAUAGGCCCAGGCGACUGUUUAGCAAAAACACAGGUCUCUGCAAAACCGUAAGGUGACGUAUAGGGGCUGACGCCUGCCCGGUGCUGGAAGGUUAAGAGGAGUGCUUAGCUUCGGCGAAGGUACGAAUUGAAGCCCCAGUAAACGGCGGCCGUAACUAUAACGGUCCUAAGGUAGCGAAAUUCCUUGUCGGGUAAGUUCCGACCCGCACGAAAGGCGCAACGAUCUGGGCACUGUCUCAACGAGAGACUCGGUGAAAUUAUAGUACCUGUGAAGAUGCAGGUUACCCGCGACAGGACGGAAAGACCCCGUGGAGCUUUACUGCAACCUGAUAUGGAAUGUUUGUACCGCUUGUACAGGAUAGGUAGGAGCCGAAGAGACGUGUGCGCUAGCAUACGAGGAGGCAAUGGUGGGAUACUACCCUGGCUGUAUGACCAUUCUAACCCGCCACGCUUAGCGCGUGGGGAGACAGUGUCAGGUGGGCAGUUUGACUGGGGCGGUCGCCUCCUAAAGAGUAACGGAGGCGCCCAAAGGUUCCCUC
Molecule: ribosomal RNA, 1008 nt
Filed under: Listeria monocytogenes
Lineage: Bacteria; Bacillati; Bacillota; Bacilli; Caryophanales; Listeriaceae
Description: partial 23S ribosomal RNA
Rfam family: Bacterial large subunit ribosomal RNA
Source: RNAcentral